UUUCUCUUUCUUUUACUUUUGUUUCAUAACUCACUUUACCAAUUGAGCCAAUGCUCCAAAGGGUUCACUCAUCUCAAGUACUUUCACAAUCUGUAAUAUAGCUUGAUGCCAAUAUUCCUCAAUGUUCAAAGGUAACAAUUCUUUUCCACAAACUUUUCACAACAAAUAGAAAACAAAACCAAGGCAUGGAAGAUACGGCAAAAUCAUGAUAUUCACAAUAUAAGGACUUACGGUCAUGCUAGACACCAACAUAUAAAUACUCGUCACCAUGCCUAUUCGUCGUACUCAAUAAUUACCACAAAACAAAUAGGACUUAACUCCUAAUCCCUGUCACACCUCCUUUUGGCUACUACAACCCUGCGAAGGGCAUAGAUAAGGGAGUUUUUCCAAUUAAAGGACAAUCAAAACGAGAUUCGUUUAUUUAAGAAAAUUUCAGAGUCGACACUUGGGAUAGUCAAUUGUGUCCCAAGUCACCGGUUUAAAUCCCGAAUCGAGGAAAGAAUGACUCUGUUUGACAGUCCACGAACCAAAAAUCCAAGUAAGGAAUUCCGUUAACCUGAGAGAAGGUGUUAGGCAUUCUCGAGUUUCAUGGUUCUAGCACGGUCGCUCAACUGUUAUAUUUGGCUUAAAUUAUCUGAUUUUAUACAAUUAUGAACCCAUGUGCAUUUUGAAUUUUUUAAC
This 681-nucleotide long non-coding RNA is filed under the name Nicotiana benthamiana. RNAcentral's name for it is "long non-coding RNA (NBEN_LNC011577)". The record is from RNAcentral. Lineage: Eukaryota; Viridiplantae; Streptophyta; Magnoliopsida; Solanales; Solanaceae.